This 67-nucleotide transfer RNA is filed under the name Kalasha nativa. Its description in RNAcentral is "tRNA-Leu". The record is from RNAcentral. Lineage: Eukaryota; Metazoa; Arthropoda; Insecta; Hemiptera; Cicadellidae.
UCUAAAGUGGCAGAAAUCAAAUGCAAUGAACUUAAAAUUCAUCAAUAAACCUAAAGUUUCAUUAGAA